Molecule: non-coding RNA, 30 nt
Filed under: Mus musculus (house mouse)
Lineage: Eukaryota; Metazoa; Chordata; Mammalia; Rodentia; Muridae
Source: RNAcentral
UGCCAGAGUGGAAUAAGACACCAUCUCUUU